UACGUAGGUGGCAAGCGUUGUCCGGAUUUAUUGGGUUUAAAGGGUGCGUAGGCGGUUUUGUAAGUCAGUGGUGAAAUACUCCAGCUUAACUGGAGGGGUGCCAAUGAUACUGCAGAACUUGAGUACAGAUGAGGUAGGCGGAAUUGACGGUGUAGCGGUGAAAUGCAUAGAUAUCGUCAAGAACACCGAUAGCGAAGGCAGCUUACUGGGCUGUAACUGACGCUGAGGCACGAAAAGUGUGGGGGAUCAAAACAGGG
Molecule: ribosomal RNA, 257 nt
Filed under: uncultured bacterium
Lineage: Bacteria
Description: partial 16S ribosomal RNA
Rfam family: Bacterial small subunit ribosomal RNA
Source: RNAcentral